AACAAAUCGCAAUAUUUUUGUACGUUUUCUAUACAGAAUGACUCCUUAUCCAUAAUUCUAAGUGCAGAAAUUUUGUAAACUGAUAUAGUAAGAAAAAAUCAAAUACCAGAGUUUUUCUCAAGAAUUUUUAUUUUAACAUGAACAGAUCAAAAUUUACACACAGCAGUAACAAAACCGGAAUUAACGCCUUUGGAAAAGUGUUGUAAUGGACUGAGUGAAGUAAUUUGUCGUCUAUAAAAAUGGAAAUGACCUGAAAGCAUUUUGUCUAACUCUUACGAGCCACAUCAUGGGUUUACCACAUGCUCCUAAACAUGGAUGGGUGUGCCUCUGGCCACACAAAAUCUAUCAUUUUAAAACCGGUAAAUUGUGAUUUUUCCCUUUCAUUAAGUAAACAAUGUUGUGUCUCACUAGGAACAGCUGGCGUUAUUCCUCAUUUCUUUGGACUUAAACAUGCAGAGCUGCUGCGCUCCAAAGCUUCCCAGUUGGCCGGUUUGGUUUCCACUCUGCUGAGUGAUUCUGGAGCCGGCCCCCGCUCACUGAGGAAGAGGAGGUGACCGCUGCGCCCCGCGUGCCAAACUCCUUUCAUCUCCGUCUGAAGUCAGCAAACUGGAAGAGAGAGAUACGUUCACAUUGGAGCAUUACGGAGCCUUUGCCUGGAUACUGUGUGUGUUCAGUAUCCACAAAUAAUCCAGUUUGGUCUGAAACCACCGGUACAACCCAUACUGGGCAUUUUUUUCUGAGUUUAAAUGUAGAUCAACCAACAUGAUUUGGGUUACAAAUGAAUCUGUGAACAAUGUUAUGAAUAAUUUUGUAGGUAGUAAAAUAUAUAUCCUUGCAACAGACUAAAACAAAAGAAGCAAAGUGGUUGCCAACACUAACGAGUCUUUUGUGUACCACCAGUGCUUGUCGUCUUCUGGUCCGGUGUGGAGUGGACUGGACUCCGGUUCCUGCUGAACUGAGCCAGUGGUUGUAUAGGACUGAUUAUCAGCUCAGUAGGCACAGGAAGCCAACCCUGAAUAUCUCUGCUCGCUCUCCAACAAAGCACUGGCAAACCAUGAAAACACUUUUUACCUUGUUUUUUUGUCUGUAAUGAAGCGAAAAGGGAACGCCAACUCGAGCUCCACUAACCCCAAACCCGCCAGAAACCACACCACUUUAGGUCCAUUUAGACUGUGGCGGUUGUUGGGCUGCUAGCUGGUGAAAGGUUUGCUUCACACGGUAGAAACUUUUCCACCCAAAAUAAUUGUUACAUUGUUGGUUUAAACAAAAUGGCUUUUACACUACAAACAGAAAUAUACAUCCAUCUAAAUUACAUUCUGCCACCUUCUGUGAGAAGCAUGUAUACAUACCGCAUCAACAAUUAGAAAAGAUUCCAACGUAUGCUUUGAAAUCGAAUAAAACAGCCGUCUUAAAUACAGUUGGCAUUAAAGAGUCUUUCUAGCAGCGAGAAGAAACAACACUGUGGGCCAAAUUAGUUUAUUUUUGGUUCCUUUAUACAAUGUUGCUUGGUCCUUUAUGUGCAGAGCACCAUUUCCCCUCCCAUUAGAGCGUAAUAAAUCACCUUUUGCAUACAGGCUCAACAGGCCUUUGAUGGUCAUUACUCUUUUAACAGGCCCUAAAUAUAGGUCUAAAAAUGGCAGACUCCACAUGGCCCUCAUUUCUAAUUCAAACAUCUGUCCUCGUUUAGUCGCCAUUUUGUCGUCGUGAAUAUAGAGCGGUAUAAUACCUCCUCAAGUCUCAUAUUAUGACUGCCAAAAAAAGACACAGUUCUAAAAUUCAUCUCCAGCAAUCUGUCACGGUUUUGUUUGCGGGGUCACCAAGUACAGCUUUGCAUCACAAUCAGCUACAGUGACGUUAUUUUAAGCUUGUUUUAACGUAUCAACUUACUUUGAUUUUACAUCCUUUCUUUCGCCGUAUGUUUUAAGGGUUUCAAUUAAAGCACUUUGUUUUUUAAAAGUGCUAUAUAAAAGUUAGAGAAAAGGUAUACGUUAAGUUAAGGUACGGCAGCAUUUUAAACUUAAAAUAAUCAUACAUGAUGUAUUCUUUGCAUGGCACAGCAAGCACCAGACCUCCUUUCACCUACACACUAUGUGGACAUUUGUAAAGAAUUCAAAGAGAACAAAUCGCCACAUUUACCUUACAGAGGAUUUGUACAGUUUGUAAAACCCUUGGAGGCAAAUGUAAGAUUAAAUUGAACUGAAGACUAAAACAAAUCCGUGAGGCAGCUCUGAACAGCCCGAGAUUUAUAGAUCGCUGCAUUGGCAGACGGCCAUGCUAAAUACGAGCCUGCUCAUGUUGCUGAGCUUUGUGUGUAAAAUCGGUA
This is a long non-coding RNA of Gasterosteus aculeatus aculeatus (three-spined stickleback), 2323 nucleotides long. Lineage: Eukaryota; Metazoa; Chordata; Actinopteri; Perciformes; Gasterosteidae. The record is from Ensembl.